CAUAACAACCUUAUGCUGGGGGGGGUAUGGAUAUUGCUAACAGUAGAAUCCGGCCAAUGUUGAUUUUUAUUUUUUAAUCACAGAACAUCUCUCCAUUUUUUUUUGGCUUAACAUAUGUUGGUAUUAGAUACUUUUAAAUAGAGAGUAUUGCCAUAAAAUCUUAAAAUUACCCAAACCAAAAAACUUGUUUAUAUAACCAGUCUAGUCCAAAACACUCAUUCUAAAUAUAAGUAAAUAUGGGGCCAGAGAAAUUAGAUGGUCAAAAAAAUUCAUCCACUAGGUUAGUACUGGUACUAGAAACAGUAUCUCUUAGUUUAUAUUCUAAAACUUUUUCCCAAAGCCUCUUUCCCAUCUUUCAGCAAAGCACUACACACACAUAAUUGAAAGAUAAGUUAGUACAAACAGACUUCUAGCAAGUAAAUAGCCAUUCUCCAUCCCUCAGACUUCUACAUUCAACUGUCUUGUGGCUUCCUUCCAUUACUGUCAUGGAAAUAUACAAUUCCUUUUUAUUUCUAUUUCUUUGUAUGUGACUUAUCCCUCCACAGUCUCCUGUUCUUAGGACUUUUCUCUUCGUUACUAGAAUUUGAAAUUUCAUGUGUGUGCAGAGGGGGUAUGUCAGGCGGUUACCCUUUGUUGGGUACAACACACCAUUUCAGUGAAGGGAAUCUCUGUUAUUCUUUUUCUGUAAGAUGUCUCUCCCCUCUAUUUAUCUCUGCUAUUUUCCAGAUCCUUUUGACACUUCAAGGUAGGGCACCUGAACUAAUUGCGAAAUUUUAUCUUUUCUAUCUUCUUUUCCAUCCUAAUGACCUCUUCUUUCCAAAGCUUAGAGAUUUUUUUUUUUAACUUUAUCUUCUAUUUCUUGAUUUUAAAAAACCAUUUAUUUCAUUUUAAUUACCAAGAGUUUCUUUCUUAUAACCUAGUGUUAUCAUUGGCUGAUUUCUCUGUGAAUACUAAUUAUAGAAGUUACAACAAACAGGAAAAUAUUUAGCUCCAUUUAUGUACUUCAAUAACAUAUUUGAAUUUUCAAUAUAAGAUUUUUUUAUCUAAAAGUUUUUAAAAUCAUCUUUUGUGGGAUUUACUGUUGGGCAAAUUAGGGUUUCUGUUCUAUUGUGGCUAGUACAUUUUUCCUAGUGUACAGAAAUGCUAUUGAUUUUGAUACAGGAGUGCUGGGAAGGGACGAGCAUGGUCCCUUUAAAUGAUACCGAACGGGGGACAGGGAAGUGCUGGGUAGAGCAAGGCCGGUUCCUGGCUAGGGCUUCACCCUCUGGCUUGUGCCCACGAACCUAGGUGAGGACAGGCACUCCUGCCUUUGGGCCCAAAUGUUGCAUUUUCCAAAACCACCCUGGCCCACCACACCCCCAUCCUGGGCGGAUAAAAACUGAGACCCUAGCAGGCAGAUAGAUACACAAGCGUCUGGACGUCCAGAGGAGGGGAUCAGCGGAAGAAGACACAAGCAGCCGGACAUCGAGAGGAUGUCGAGGGGAGCAUGCCAGUGGAAGAGCACAUGACAGACACUGGCAGGACAGCAGGCCAUUGACUGGAGGAACGAUGUGGAGUUUAGCGAGAUCAGGAGGAGGAGAGCACGGGCCGCUAAGCAGAGGGACCCCUGGUGCAUCUCCCAUCUGGCUCCCCCAUCUGCUGAGAACUACUUCUACUCAGUAAAACCUCGGACUCAUUCUCCAAGCCCUCGCGUGAUCUGGUUCUUCCGGUACACCACGGCAGGAAACCCUGGGAUACAGAAAUCCCUCCGUCCUUGUGGAUUUUAGAAUGCCAAGCUGACAUUUUGAGUUUUUAUGAGAAACCAGAAAAUUUGGUGUGAAGACCCUAAGUGGUGUGUCUGACUUACAGCAGGCCCACAGCAAAUACAUUGGAGACUUCUCAACUUUCUGCUUCUGAUGAUCUCAACUUGUGGUAUGGCAAAAGGAGAGCAAAAUGUUCACCCAGGUAUGGGAAUUUCUCACAAAAAUGUUACUUUAUUAUAUUUAGGGGAAAAAGGGGGCAAAAUCUACACUCAUAAUACCUGAGACUGGAUUUCUAGAACCUUUUGGUUUCAGAUUUAUGAUGAAUUAGAAAACUUCCUGAUUAGAAAAAUGUUAUAGUUUCAAAUAUUAGCUAAAAUUUUUAUCUGUAAGUACAAUAAACAUGACAAAUAAUGAUCAGUGUUUUCACUCCUAUUAAGGAGAGUAUUUUUAGUAAUAAAAAUAAGCCUUAAUGUGAAAAAGCUAAGAAUUCAUGAUUGCUUCUAAUGACAAGUAUCUGGGAGGGGUCUGAGUUUGGUUCAAGAGAGGAACUACAGCUGUUGGUGACUACAACCAUCUGCCCAGAUGACAUCGUGAUCAACUCCUCUGAAUCACUCUAAAGGAACGAGAAGUCCUGGCAGCUGAGUCAUGAUCCCCCAGGAGCCAUUAAGAAGUUAAUCUUCAGUCACUUCCAUCCAAACAGAAGAAAACCCAUGAAGGAUGAGAACUAUGGGUCCUGAGAAUGACAGGUAAU
RNAcentral lists this long non-coding RNA (2493 nucleotides) under Homo sapiens (human). RNAcentral's name for it is "HSALNT0307832". Lineage: Eukaryota; Metazoa; Chordata; Mammalia; Primates; Hominidae. The record is from RNAcentral.